RNAcentral lists this ribosomal RNA (429 nucleotides) under Bacteroidota bacterium. RNAcentral's name for it is "Bacteroidetes bacterium partial 16S ribosomal RNA". It matches the Rfam family "Bacterial small subunit ribosomal RNA", at positions 355 to 776 of the family's 1533-position model. The record is from RNAcentral. Lineage: Bacteria; Pseudomonadati; Bacteroidota.
UAGGGAAUCUUCCGCAAUGGACGCAAGUCUGACGGAGCAACGCCGCGUGAGUGAAGAAGGAUUUCGGUUCGUAAAACUCUGUUGUUAGAGAAGAACAGCGCAUAGAGUAACUGUUAUGCGUGUGACGGUAUCUAACCAGAAAGCCACGGCUAACUACGUGCCAGCAGCCGCGGUAAUACGUAGGUGGCAAGCGUUGUCCGGAUUUAUUGAGCGUAAAGCGAGCGCAGGCGGUCAAUUAAGUCUGAUGUGAAAGCCCCCGGCUCAACCGGGGAGGGUCAUUGGAAACUGGUUGACUUGAGUGCAGAAGAGGAGAGUGGAAUUCCAUGUGUAGCGGUGAAAUGCGUAGAUAUAUGGAGGAACACCAGUGGCGAAGGCGACUCUCUGGUCUGUAACUGACGCUGAGGCUCGAAAGCGUGGGGAGCGAACAGG